UACGGAGGGUGCAAGCGUUAUCCGGAUUCACUGGGUUUAAAGGGAGCGUAGGUGGCUUUGUAAGUCAGUGGUGAAAUGUCGCGGCUCAACCGCGAAACUGCCAUUGAUACUGCUUAGCUUGAAUCACGUCGAGGUGGAUGGAAUAUUACAUGUAGCGGUGAAAUGCUUAGAUAUGUAAUAGAACACCGAUUGCGAAGGCAGUUCACUAGGCGUGUAUUGACACUGAGGCUCGAAAGCGUGGGGAUCAAACAGGAUUAGAUACCCC
RNAcentral lists this ribosomal RNA (265 nucleotides) under uncultured bacterium. RNAcentral's name for it is "partial 16S ribosomal RNA". It matches the Rfam family "Bacterial small subunit ribosomal RNA", at positions 524 to 788 of the family's 1533-position model. The record is from RNAcentral.